RNAcentral lists this long non-coding RNA (1212 nucleotides) under Equus asinus (donkey). RNAcentral describes it as "lncRNA (ENSEASG00005030507.1)". Lineage: Eukaryota; Metazoa; Chordata; Mammalia; Perissodactyla; Equidae. The record is from RNAcentral.
CAGGGAGGGGCCCCGGCACUGCCUUUUCAUUUGGAGAAGGCAGUAUGAGGCUGCACAGUCAGGGGGGAUUCAGGGUUUGCAUGAAACCCUGUCCAGAGAGAGCUCUCUGUGCACCAGUGGGGCUCCGAGCUUCUGUGGGACAGUCCCGGGGCUCAGAAAGAGGAGGGAUGGGCUGCCCAGGUUGUCUGCCCAGGACUCUACCUGCAGUGCUCCUUCCAGCCCAUCUCCAGGGCAGACUGAGCUCUGAGGCCAGCAGAAGCCCCCACUGCGUGGGCUGUGUUGAAUUUACUGUUUCCUUGAUCAGAGGGUCAAGCUUGAGCCUCCAGCCAGCCCGCCUGCGUGUGGUGGUGGGGCUGGAAGGAGGAGUGAGGUUCUUUAAACCGGAGGAUGUGGCGUGGGUGGCCUGGGGAGACUGCCUGCUUCCUCCGAUCUCAGUUUCCUCUUCCCUAAAAUGGGGUGGUAGGUGAGACUCCCCGCUGAAGUCCCCCAGCCUGUUCUGAAACACUCCACCCAAAGCUGGGGGAGGCCACAGCCAGGAAGGAAAUUUUGUUCCGAGCCUUCGGGAGCCUUCGGCGGCGGCGGGGGCCUGUCUGCCCCAGCUCGCCCCCGGGCUGGAUUCCGGGCUGGAUUCCAGUUGCAGCCCCUCUGGGUCUUCUCACCUCCAGCCCUGCCCUUUCCGAAGCAUCUCAACACUGUCGCCUGAGGAAUCUGCUGAAACUCCCGGUUGCCCUUGGGAUAAAGUCUCCACCUCUAGCCUCCAGUCACACACUGAAUGCCUAUUAGAGGAUGGAGCAGAAGGCCUGUUUUACAAAGGGAUCAAAGAAGGGUCCCCAGAUCUCAGAAACAGAAACGGAAACCAAUACAAGGCAGAAGAUAAGAGAGCUGAGCUAUUGUCCUUUAUUCUGGUUUAAAAAUGCGACAACAUGGCCUCCACUACAUGCACCCACAAAGAACAGGCAAACAAGAAGUCAAAGGAACAAAUUACCCUGCUGGAAACCCGUCUGCCUGGGCCCUCCGUCUCCAGGAUCGACUCGCUGAUCUCGCCCCUCCAGCACCAGGGAGCCUUGAGCACACAUCUUCCAGGACGGCGCUUCUUCCAGGAGCCGCCAGUGGAGCUGACCACAGCCCUUGGAAGCCUGGACAGAGGCUUACGAAACAGCAAGAGAGACCAACUGAGGUCAGAGUAGGGCCAUUGCGGGGUGCCCAAUGGCC